GGACGAGGAGGACAAGGAUUUGUGCUCGGUAUAACACGAGGUGGUUAGCGGAGGUUGCGGGUGAUCGAGGUGGGCGAGGAGGAGGACGAGGAUGACGAGGACUUGUGUACUAUCUGUGCCCCACCUAGUGAUCCACUAGUACAUAUCCUCUGACGUGACAUCGCUCCGCUACGUAUGCAGAAGAAAAGAUUUAUCAAGAUGCAGAUUGCUCCUCUCUUCUUGCCAUUGUGCUUUCAGCCAUUGUUGUGCUGUGUGUUUAAAAUUUAGGGCAGUAUAUAAUAUAGAAUAACAUGUACAUCUACGAAUAUAGCACUGCAAUAAAUCUUAUAGAAAUGAGCUCACAUUGAGAUUUCUCUGUAUUUAUAACUCGACGCGAGAAGGCAAAAAUCAAUUUAAUGCCAUCUGUGAGGUAAUUGGACUCGCAUUUGCACUACGAGAACUCGUUGGGCAUUUUGCGGUGAAAUUUGAAAAAUUGUUGUACAAGAAAUUAAAUAACUAUAAAAAUGGAUGAAAAAUAUUAUCUCUAAUAGUGAAUGUAGCUAAUACAGCUUUAACCGUAUAUUGAUUAUGUUGAUGAUCUAUUCUGACAAAAUCGGAAUUAGAUAAGC
Neodiprion fabricii is the source of this 608-nucleotide long non-coding RNA. RefSeq lists it as uncharacterized. The transcript is spliced from 3 exons. The record is from RefSeq and is a predicted model, not a curated record. NCBI's taxonomy places the organism in Eukaryota, Metazoa, Arthropoda, Insecta, Hymenoptera, Diprionidae.